CGGGGUGUCGUAUACCGGCAGUACGCCUGUUUUGGGAACAGGUAGACUGGGUUCAAUUCCCAGCACCCCGA
This 71-nucleotide transfer RNA is filed under the name Patescibacteria group bacterium. RNAcentral describes it as "tRNA-Pro". It matches the Rfam family "tRNA". From Rfam's summary of the family: Transfer RNA (tRNA) molecules are approximately 80 nucleotides in length. The record is from RNAcentral. RNAcentral also lists the same sequence under 1 other name.